RNAcentral lists this long non-coding RNA (248 nucleotides) under Trifolium pratense (red clover). RNAcentral describes it as "long non-coding RNA (TPRA_LNC004996)". Lineage: Eukaryota; Viridiplantae; Streptophyta; Magnoliopsida; Fabales; Fabaceae. The record is from RNAcentral.
UCUAAUCUCACAUCAGAAAAGCAGCAGCCACACAAUAUUAUUAUUUUCAUUCUUUACCUUCUUUAACUUCAAUUUCUCUAAAUUAAGCAAACCAAGGUUCCUUUUCAAAUGCCCAGAUCUAUUUUCAUUCUUCUCAAACUCAUCUCUACCUCUCCUUCUUUCUUCUUAAAUACCAACCUCUUUUUCUACUUUUUCAAAUACACAGAUCUGUUGUUGUUCUUAAGUUGAUAAUAGUGUAUUAAGGGAAA